AUAGCCAUACUAUAUGAUUUUGUAGGGAUAAAUUUCUUUGGCCUUGUUAUUUCAAAAGUUCAUGAUUACCUUGCUAGUUUGCUUGAAGUACUAUUGUUUUCAUGUCAACUAGCGGUGUGUCCUCCGCAUUUGCGCGGCUAGAUUCUACUAAAGAUGUAUUACUCCUGUUAUAGAGAUUGUCUCAAAUACUCCACUUGGACCAUUGUUUGUGAUAUGUACACGCUUUAUUCUCUCUAAAACAAUACUAUGAAAACAAACCAUUGUGCAAUAUUCCUUGAUGUAACCAAGCUAACGUGUUAACAUAUUCAUAGUCAUUGUUAGAUAUGUUAAAAUGUACACAUUUUAUCGAUGGCUUUUAUGAUUCAUUGUGUUUGUAUAAUCAAAAAUCAAAGGAGUAUCAUAUUGAGAGGACACUUUUUAAAAUCCUUCUACAUAAUUUUAAAAAGUUAAAUCUAAACAUUAUUAUCUCAUAUACAUUUUUCUCUCUCUUUAUUCACUUCCAGAAUAUUAGUCGUAUUGCAAUUAUGUAGGUUUUCUUGUGUAAUGUCUUGCAUUUACACCCAUCACCUUAUUUUUGAUUAAAUGUGUUCAUAUAUCAACAUAUAGUUUUCAUUUAGUAGUUAAGUACAACUAACAUGACUUACCACAUAUUUGAUACCAUUAUUUGAAAUGAAUAAUGGUGUCGAUGAUGGCUGUCCCUUGAAAAAUAUUUACAGUUAUCGCUUCAAUGUACGUAUAUCAUGUUACUUCCUUCGGAUUUACAUGCAACCACCCGCAUAGCAUAUUGGAACAAUCUUACAUUUUCCCCAAUUUCACACAUAUUCAAUUAUUGUUCAUCUUAAUUUACUUCAGAUAGUUCUUAAUAUGAGAAAUAUAUUAAAAAAUAUUUGUUUAAACUUUACUCUCUUCAACAGUCCCAUCCAACUUUACUCUCUUCCACAUAUAGUACAUCUUUUCUAGGUUCUGUUAAUCAAAGCAAUCAAUGAAUGUUGAUACGUUUGUCGUGUAUCUUUAUUCUCUUAAUUAGUUUAGUUAGGUUUUGCAAAAUAAUAUAGUUCACUUACGACCAUGGACAUGAAACAUGUAAAAAAUCACUGGAUCUUACAUUGCACUUCCACCUUUAGUUAUUUCUAUCGUCUUGAGUUAACCGUGAAAUUCAAGCCUGAAUGUGUGUCAAACUUUUAUUAAUUUUAAUAUAAUGCUUUUGUCCCAAUUUGGUGGAUUUUUCUCGGUUUGUACCUACUCACUCUAUGUGAUUCAUUAGAAUUUGUCGAUCUAAUAGUUAUUGAAAUAUUCUAAUUAGACAUUGCGGGCGUAAGAUGUCUAUAUCCUUGUAUUUCUCAUAAAUACCAAUGUAUAUUACCUAUACAUAAAGAAGAAUUUGGUCUUAGAUUAAUGUCUGCCCUAAGUGAUGUCAAUUUUUUUGUCAUCUUAAAUAAAUGUGCAAACAUAUGUUCUCGAAAAUGCCCGCAAUUUUGAUUUUUACAAUAAAAAUUGGUAGUCUAUAUUUUUCAAUUGAAUGAUUUUCCGGCCUGCCUAUAUAGUGGUGUUUUUUAUGUUAUAGCUACAUAGUUAUCCACCAGUUUUGUGUUUGCACGUAGGUAGUAGUAAUAACAUUUUACUUGUAGAUCUUAUAUGAAUUUAUUGACAUAAAAAAUCGUGACAUGUUACAUUAAUAUAUUAAAAGCCUGCAUGCAUGUACUUAUGCAGGACAUGUUACAUAGUAUUCCAAAAGCAUAGUAUAUUGAUUAUUAUCUAGGGAAAGGUAACUCUAAGGUUUAGAUUAAGUUAAUCAUCUCAGUCGAUUGUAUAUUUGAUUAUAAAAAUACAUCUAAUAACCUGUUACUUCGUCGAUGGUGACAUUGAGAAUCAACAUCGCGUCUGAUUUACCCCUCAAAAAAUAUCCGUCUCAUUUGUAGAGCAUGUAAACAAAAACAAAGAUAGUUUUAUUAUUUGAAAAAUAUGUGAUUAAUUAGAUAUUGCUGAUUGCUAAGAAAAAGAAUUAGAUGAUGUUGACAUCAUCCAUUAUGUGAGAAACACAAAUUCUGCACGUACGCGUUUCAUGGAUGGCUGUCCGUAACAUGACAUCAACCUUGCCGGUUAAGUUUUUUUCGCAAGUGUUAAGAAAAGUUCUGUACAGCCGGCCGUAAACCGACUGAUUAGCUGCCUUGUAUUUUGUAGAAAGCUGCCGCGUAUCCUAAACCAACAUGUAUAGGAAUUUUUCUUUGUAAAUAUGGUUAAACCUUGCACGUGUCAGAUUCUUAAAAUUGUAAACAUUAUUGACCAUAAAAAGGAAAAGACCUGAUUGCUUACAUUACGUGUUUUCUUUCCUUGUUUUUUCUGUUUUCUAAUUAUAUUUCUAAAAUAUUUUCCUUGUGAAGAUCGGAUGUUUUUUUAACCUAGACGUGUAUUUUGGUUGUACCCAGUACGUGUUGGGUGCUAGAAAUUGCAUGUAAUAAUGUUGUAUAUAAACUUUCAGAUGUUUUAAUCUCAACCACAAUAAUCUAAAUUGACAGAUCCUAUAUUAUUAGCAUACAUCUCAACCACAAUAAUCUAAAUCGACAGAUCCUAUAUUAUUAGCACUAGCAAAAGAACCCGUGCGUUGCAACGGCAGAAAAAAGAAUACACACUUUUAACCCAAUAACCAUGACUCAAGACCUUAGUAGGCCCAUGUUUUUCAGUUCCACAUGGCAUCACAUUUGUGUUGUCGAUAGUGGCCUCAAUGCUCACACAAUGAAAACGCGUUUGAUUAUGGUCAGUCUUAAGGUCUCUUUUUUUUCUCUCUCUCUGAGAAAAACAUACAAUAUGUUCAGUAUGCUUAGUUACAGAGGGAGUAUACACCAACUCGAUGCAUAUUUAAUGAACGAAUCAAAAAAUAAAAGCAUGAAAGAAUAUUGAGUACAAGUAUUUCAAACAAUUUAAAUCCAUGUCUUGUGAACUUAUAUUAUUAAUGAACAUAUAAUAAAUAAACAUGGAUAUGAACUUACUUGAUGUUUCAAGUUGCAUGGUCUCUGUUCUCCUCGAUGAUGCCACACAAAAAAUUGCAUUAUGAUGAAAAUGACAAAGUAUGUUUUGUUAAUUAAUGAUAGCAUAUGCAUAAGAGCAUUAUUUUUUAUCUUGCUGAUAUAUGUGUUUGCAUUUGUAAUCCAAGUGAAGUCUUAAUUUGGUUGCAAACAUAUUAGACAGCUCCAUCAAAAACAAUCAAUUUGUAAGUACAUGCAUACCAAAUGUUCAAGGUUGCGUAUCAACUUCGAUAUUCUUACAAAAAUCAUUGCAAAACAAUUUAUAUAUAUGAAAAAUCAAAGCUAAGCCAUUUGUUUACGUAAAGCUUGUAUAAACAACAUUAUAAUAUUUUUAUAUAUUAGAAACUUUUUUUUGUGUGUGACAUCAGAAACAUUAUUUAGUUUUGAUGUCAACAUCCAACAGACCCAUGCAUACAUGCAUGCACAUCCUUGCCAUUGCAGGACUUACAAUCGAGCACCAAAUCACAUCACACCAAAACUUGGACAUCCAAAUUAGCUGUGAGCAGCAUCAACUUGUUGAACUACCCUACCUAUAUAUGUACGCAAACACACAUCCUAGGUCCAAGGAACUACUCUACCAAGCCUAGCUAAAAUCAGGAAUUAGAUCAGGACGAGAGCGGAAGAGCAGAUGUGGAUCUGCUAGUGGUGGUAGGAGAGGAGGGCGACGACGCAUCGGCGGAUGAUGUAGAGCCUGGCCUUGUGCUCCCUCAGCAUCCUGCUCGGCCCUCCUGAUCCUGACCUGGAUCCUCUUCCUCCCCGGUGCUUGUUGCCGCCAUGGCUCUUCACCUUGUACUCCAUCUCGAGUUAGAACGAGCGCAGGGUACGUGAUUGAGCUCGCUAGGCUCUGCACUUGCACUGCUACAAGAUGUGGAUCUACCUCUGCUCAUCUGCUGUGUGGCUGUGGGCUUAUGGCCAAAUGCCCAGCGUUUGUAUGCUUAUAUAGCAUGGAAAUGGCGAGCUGGGAGAGAGGGGUGGGCAUGCUUUGCCUACUUGCGCACUCGAUCCCCUCUAAGCGGCGGCUGCCGCGGCCCAGACUAGCGAGGCGCUGCAGCUCCCCGUCCUCGGCCCCGAGCGGGACGACCUAGCACGCGCAGGCCAUGGCAGCUCCGGCGAGCAGGAACUGGCGAGGCCCGCUGAGUCCUGUGACGCAGAGAGGAGGAGAGGUCGGCUGAGGGCUGGGGCGGCCGAUGCGGGAGGCUGUGGCUGGCCUGGCGCGGCUGGUCAACGCGGGGAUCGGGCGAGGCGCUCGACCUGGACCCCGAUCCAGGAGCGAGGCGAGGCGAACGCCCUGCUCGGCUGACCCGAUCCAGAACGGGGCGACGAGGACUGGCAGCAGGGAUCCGCGGCGGAAGGAGACUGGCGGCUGGCGGAGCUUGGGCGGCGGCAGCUGCUGCGCGGUGCGGCGGGGCACCUCAGGCACGGGAGGUCGAGCUGAGGCUGCUCGCUCCGAUGGGGAGGCAGGGAGGCGCAGCUUCGAUGGGUUAUUUUUUUUCUCUUGCACGUACCGAUUCGUUGACUUACCUGAGGAUUGCGGGUUGAUUAGCUAAAUCAACAGGGGCUUUUUUGUAAAAGUCACAUGAUGGACGACAGAGGCAGUCGACGCUUUAUUAUUAGGGAGAGAUAUGUGGAACCAAGUACGCCUAGAAAAAUCAAUAUAAGUGUGCCUUGAGGAAUCCUUGAUUAGUUCAAGUAUAGCGUAUGUCUCGUGGACACCUUCCCUCGGUCUUACAUUAAUGCUCACGAUGUGGACAUGCAUGUGAACAGGAAUCAUGCAUACAUGUACUUCUGCAUACGUGUACUUUAAAACUAAUCCUGAUCAUUCUUUCAAGCUCUUUUUUACUGUUACAUCUUAGCCACUCGUUUUCUAUCGUUUUAAGUAUAUAAUAGAUAGAUAGAUAGCAAACUAUUGUUUUGAAUCUUACGGAUCUGAACAUUCAUGUCACAUGAAAGAAGUUACAGAGGACAACUAUGCUAGGUAGCAUUCCACAUCAAAAAUUCAGUCUUUAUCACUUCCGUGUUCGAGGACGAGCAGGAGUUAAGCUUGGGGAUGCUUGAUACGUCUUCAACGUAUCUAUAAUUUUUGAUAGUUCCAUGCUAUUAUCUUGUCAAACUAUGGAUGUUUUGUAUGCCUUUUAUAUCUUUUUGGGACUAACUUAUUAAGUCAGUGCCAAGUACCAAUUCCUGCUUUUUCCGUGUUUUUGACCCUUUUCAAAGGAGGAUUUUAAACGGUGUCCAAACGAAAUAAAACUUCCAAAAAGAUUUUUUCGGAACAUAAGAUACACACGAGACUUGAGAACCAAGGCAGGGGCCACCAGGGGACCCCACAAGCCCCCUAGGCGCGGCCAGGGGGCCCGCGCCUAGUAGGCUUGUGGGCCCCCUGUGUCUCGUCUGCCCUACCUCUUCCGCCUAUAAAUUCCAAAAAAAUCCAAAACUGCGUGAGAGAUCCACGAAAUACUAUUCGCCACCGCAAUCUUCUGUCUCCGCAAGAUCCCAUCUCGGGCACGUUCUGGUGCCCUGCCGGAGGGGGAUUCGGAUACGGAGGGCUUCUUCAUCAACACCAUGACCUCUCCGAUGAUGCGUGAGUAGUUCAACAUAGACCUUCAGGUCCAUAGCUAGUAGCUAGAUGGCUNNNNNNNNNNNNNNNNNNNNNNNNNNNNNNNNNNNNNNNNNNNNNNNNNNNNNNNNNNNNNNNNNNNNNNNNNNNNNNNNNNNNNNNNNNNNNNNNNNNNUAGGGCGAAUUCAAAUGAAUUUCAAAUUCCAAAUCUAUAUUAUUUAAUAAGGUUAUCCCAAUCAUCAUUUAAUAUGUUUGGUGAUGUUAACAUUUUCAAACAUGUUUUAAAAUAUCAAAAUCAGAUUCCUUGGAUUUUUCUAAUACUUUUUCAUAUAUAAAUUAUUUUAUUUGGAGUUACAGAUUAUUUUCUAUGAUUUUUAGAAGUUUUGGGCAUUUUCUGGAAUUCUUUUAUAACAGAAAAGCUAUUUAUUGCGUCAGGCCCACGUCAGCAUGGCGUCAGCUGUCGGCCUACCUGGUCAGGUCAAACCUGACAGGUGGGGGCCACUGGUCAGCAUCACAGGGCUAAUCCCACGCUGACCAGCCCCUAAGUGAGUUUGACUCGAGACUGGGCCCACUUUCAGCGUCUGUAUAUCGCUUAAACUUGUGGAUUAGCGCGGACAGGUCAUCCCCUGGGGGAGACUGACCGGCGGCGACCAGAUCCGCGGCGGAUCCUCGCCGGAGAGACGCCAGAGAUCGCUGUGGUGCUUGGGAUCGAGUGCCGAGAGCACUGGGAGGAUCCCUAGGCUCGGCCUCAUCCAUUACAGGCUUCAAGAAGGACUGGGAAUGCCCGGAGGUCACCGGCGACAAACUGAGGCGGCAGCCGAAGCUUGGGCUCGUCGUUCUAGUGGCUAGCGUGUAGGAAAUGAGGGGAAGAAGAGGGGAAACACGCGCUAGCUCACGGUGGAGGCGAUGGGAAGCUCAGAUGGCUCGGGGAGGUGUUGUGGACGUCGAAUCAACAGAAGCUUGCCGGCGGCCGGAGGUUGAAGACGACGGCGAUGUGGCACAGCAGAGCUCGGGGAGGUUGAAUGCUUUGGCGUACACGACUAGCUCGACGAGGCGGAGAGAAUGGAGCACUCGGAGGGUCUAUCCUGUGGCUAGAGGGCCCGGGCAGCUCGAGCUCGAGCUUCUGUCAAUGGCAGCACGACGAGAGGGAAGAAACCAAGAGGAGGGGGAGGAAUGGAUAGCGAGGACGGAUAUGGACGUCUCGGGUAGUCAUCCCCGGUGUCACGCUGUCCUGGGGGGCACCGAAGCAUGCCACGGUGAAGCAGCAGGUGGAGGAGUCACCGUGGGCGUUCACUCCUCUACCAGAAGACACGAGGAAGAAGACGCCCCUGCCCGUGUGGGCUGGGCUUCCUCAGGUGAGCGUAGCUUAGGGUUUUUUCCAUUUUUCUUUCUUCAGUUUCUGUUUAUACUUUCUGACAUUUUUAUUUAUUUAUAUUUGGCUCCAAACUAUUCCUAAAGUAGUUUGAAUAAUACUGGAGUGUUAGUUGGAAUAUUUCCAACCACAUAUAAAGUUUUCAACAUUUUUGGAAACUUUGAAAUAUUUGAAAUCAAAUAUAUAAUUGAUUUCAGUAGCUUUUAACUUAAUUUAAAAUGCCAAAAGCAUUUUGAAAAUAUGUUUCACUUCUAAUAUCUUGUUUUUAACAAAUAUCAGAAAAGUUGAACUUUUCUUGAGGCCAUUUUGGGUUCAUUGAUUUUAACAAGCUUUGAAUUUCCUUGAAUUAGAAGUGGCUAGGGUUUUUGGGGUUUUGUUUCACCACUUGAUUUGAAUUUGUUUCAAGUUCUUGAAUGCAAAGAAGGUAAACAUGAGCACAAGGCUAAAACCUAGUUAGGGAUCCAGGGAUGUGACAACUCACCCCCACUCAAAAGAAUCUCGUCCCGAGAUUGAGAAGUCAUCGGGAAUAACGCGGGAUACUCAAGUCAGAGACGAUCCUCUCUUUCCCAUGUUGCCUCCUUUUCAGAAUGAUUUGACCAUUGAACUUUAAGAAACUUGAGGUUUCGACGUCGAGUGGUACGCUCAGCUUGAUCAAGAAUACGCACAGGGUAUUCUCGGUAUGAAAGGUUAUCUUGGAGAUCAAGCGUUUCAUGGUCCACUUCACGGAUAUGAUCCGAAAAGCAACGCGUGAGUUGCGAGACGUGGAAGACAUCAUGAACCUUGGAAAGAUGCGGAGGAAGUUCCAACUGGUAGGCAACUUCUCCUCGUUUGGCAAGAAUGCGAAAAGGACCAAUGUAAUGAGGAGCCAACUUUCCCUUGAUACCGAAUCGAUGGGUACCCUUCAAAGGUGUAACCCGAAGGUAAGCCUUCUCGUCAACUUCAAAGGUCACAACCUUAUGAUGACGAUCAUAUUGGCUCUUUUGACGAGACUGGGCUGUUUUCAACUUUUCACGAAUAAUGCGAACCUGCUCUUCUGCAUCCUGGAUCAUAUCCGGGCCAAAGAGUUGCCUCUCUCCGGUUUCUGAUCAAUUAAGAGGUGUUCGACAUCUUCAUCCAUAGAGAACUUCAAAAGGAGCUUUGCCCAAGCUUGAUUGAUAACUAUUGUUAUAAGCAAAUUCAGCGAAUGGAAGGCACUUCUCCCAAUUCAUACCGAAUGAUAUCACACAAGCUCGGAGCAUAUCUUCUAGGACUUGAUUCACUCUUUCUACUUGACCACUUGAUUGAGGAUGGAAAGCAGUGCUAAAAGAUAAGUGAGUCCCCAUAGCAUUCUGAAAACUUUCCCAGAAGCGAGAAGUAAAGAGACUUCCAUGGUCUGAGUUAAUCUCCAGGGGAACACCAUGAAGAGACACUAUUCGAGAUAUAUAUAUAACUCUGCUAGCUGGCUAGCUAUUAUACUCUCACGAACUGGAAGAAAAUGAGCUACUUUGGAGAGACGGUCAAUGACCACAAAGAUAGCAUUAUUUCCUUUCUUGGUCUUGGGAAAUCCGGUAAUGAAAUCCAUACUGACAUUAUCCCAUUUCCAUUCAGGAAUAGCUAAAGGUUGAAGGGUGCCAGCAGGCCUUUGAUGUUCUGCCUUAACUCGACGACAAACAUCGCAGUUAGCAACGAACUCAGCAAUUCUCUCUUCAUCCUAGUCCAACAAAACCUCUGGCGUAGGUCUUGAUACAUCUUUGUACUACCAGGAUGAAUGGUGAGAGGAGAAUCAUGAGCUUCCUUAAGGAUUAACUGCCUUAGAUGUGGAUUCUUAGGAACCACUAGACGAUUCUGGAAGAACACAACACCUUGAUCAUUCAUGGAGAAUUCAUUAGUGUUUCCGCUAAUAAUAUUCUCCUUGAUCCGAGAUAUACCCUUAUCACGCUUCUGGCCAGCUAUAAUUUGAUCCUUAAGUGUAGGCUUCGCCACCAGGGUAGAAAGGAAUCCUUGAGGAACAAUAUGAAGAUUUAACUUCCGAAAUUCCUCACAGAGAUGUGGUUGACCUCGUUGUACCAUCAAAUUGUUACAAUAAAGAUUCUGACUUAGUGCAUCAGCCAUAACAUUGGCCUUCCCCGGGGUGUAAGUUAUCCCUAAGUCGUAAUCUGUGAUUAACUCAACCCACCGUCUUUGCCUGAGAUUCAAAUCCGGCUGGGUGAAGAUAUAUUUCCGACUUUGGUGAUCAGUGAAUAUUUCGCAACGAUUACCAAGAAGGUAAUGUCGCGAGGUUUUAAGUGCAUGGACUACAGCUGCAAGCUCAAGAUCAUGUGUGGGAUAAUUAUCCUCAUGUGGACGCAUCGAGAUGCGUAUGCAAUCACAUGACGAUCUUGCAUGAGAAUGCAACCUAAUCCUUGUCGCGAGGCGUCGCAAUAGAUAACAAAGUCCUUAGAAAAAUCUGGUGGUAGCAACACAGGUGCGGAAGUCAGGCGUCUUUUCAGUUCCUGAAAACUAUGCUCACACUGUGGUGUCCACUCGAACUUUUUAUCUUUCUUGAGGAGUUCAGUUAGAGGCUUUGCAACCUUGGAGAAAUUCUCGACAAAGCGGCGACAAUAGCUCGCUAGACCAAGAAAACUCCUAACUUGCUUAACCGAUUCAGGUUGAGUCCAAUCAAGGACAGCUUGAACUCUCUCGGGAUUGAUAGCAAUACCCUUACCGGAGAUUACGUGACCUAGAUAGGUCACUUCUGGUAACCAAAAUUCACAUUUUGAAAACUUGGCAUAAAGGCGAUGCUCUCGAAGUUUCAUCAAUACCAGCCUUAGAUGCUCGGCAUGUUCUUGUUCGUUGUUCGAGUAGAUGAGAAUAUCGUCGAGGUAUACUACAACAAAUUUAUCCAAAUACUCCAUGAAGAUUGAAUUUAUCAAGCGAGAGAAGGUGGCUGGGGCAUUGGUUAAACCGAAGGACAUGACGGUGGGAAGCUCACACGGCUCAGGAAGGUGUUGUGGACGUCGAAUCAACAGAAGCUUGCCGGCGGCCGGAGAUUCAAGACGACGGCGAUGUGGCGCAGCAGAGCUCGGGGAGGUUGAAUGCUUUGGCGUACACGACUAGCUCGACGAGGCGGAGAGAAUGGAGCACUCGGAGGGUCUAUCCUGUGGCUAGAGGGCUCGGGCAGCUCGAGCUCGAGCUUCUGUCAAUGGCGGCAGAAGGAGAGGGAAGAGACCGAGAGGAGGGGGAGGAAUGGAUAGCGGGGACGGAUAGGGACGCGCUUGGGGUAGUCAUCCCCGGUGUCGCGCUGUCCUGGGGGCACCGGAGCGCCACGGCGAAGCAGGAGGUGGAGGAGUCGCCGUGGGCGUUUACUCCUCUGCAAGAAGGCAGGAGGAAGAAGACGCCCCUGCCCUUGUGGGCUGGACUUCCUCAGGUGAGCGUAGCUUAGGGUUUUUUCCAUUUUUUUUCUUUCUUCAGUUUCUGUUUAUACUUUCUGACAUUUGUUUUUAUAUAUUUUUGGCUCCAAACUAUUCCUAAAAUAGUUUGAAUAAUACUGGAGUGUUAGUUGGAAUAUUUCCAACCACAUAUAAAGUUUUCAACAUUUUUGGAAACUUUGAAAUAUUUGAAAUCAAAUAUAUAAUUGAUUUCAGUAGCUUUUAACUUAAUUUAAAAUGCCAAAAGCAUUUUGAAAAUAUGUUUCACUUCUAAUAUCUUGUUUUUAACAAAUAUCAGAAAAGUUGAACUUUUCUUGAGGCCAUUUUGGGUUCAUUGAUUUUAACAAGCUUUGAAUUUCCUUGAAUUAGAAGUGGCUAGGGUUUUUGGGGUUUUGUUUCACCACUUGAUUUGAAUUUGUUUCAAGUUCUUGAAUGCAAAGAAGGUAAACAUGAGCACAAGGCUAAAACCUAGUUAGGGAUCCGGGGAUGUGACAUGUGGGCUCCCAGCUGGCCCUCUGGCUCCCCUCUUUUGCCUCAAGAAGGGUUUCGCUCCAGAAAAAAUCAGGAGGAGGCUUUCGGGAGGAUCUCCGCCGCUACGAGGCGGAACUUGAGCAUAACAAAUCUAGAGCUCCGAUAGGACGAUCCUGCCGGGGAAACUUCCCUCCCGGAGGGGGAAAUCAUCGCCAUCGCCAUCACCAACACUCCUCUCAUCGGAGGGGACUCAUCACCAUAAACAUCUUCAUCAGCACCAUCUCAUAUCCAAACCCUAGUUCAUCUCUUGUAACCAAUCUCCAUCUCGCGACUUCGAUUGGUACUUGUAAGGUUGCUAGUAGUGUUAAUUACUCUUUGUAGUUGAUACUAGUUGGAUUACUUGGUGGAAGAUUAUAUGUUAAGAUCUUUGAUGCUACUCAUUAGCUCUCUGGUCAUGAAUAUGAUUAUGCUUUGUGAGUAGUUACUUUUGUUCCUGAGGACAUGGGAUAAGUCUUGCUAUAAGUAGUCAUGUGAAUUUGGUAUUCGUUCGAUAAUUUGAUGUGUUGUAUGUUGUUUUUCCUCUAGUGGUGUUAUUUGAACGUCGACUACAUAACACUUCACCAUUAUUUGGGCCUAGAGGAAGGCAUUGGGAAGUUGUAAGUAGAUGAUGGGUUGCUAGAGUGACAGAAGCUUAAACCCUAGUUUAUGCGUUGCUUCGUAAGGGGCUGAUUUGGAUCCACUAGUUUAAUGCUAUGGUUAGACUUUGUCUUAAUUCUUCUCUCGUAGUUGCGGAUGCUUGCGAGAGGGUUUAAUCAUAAGUGGGAUGAUUGUCAAAGUAAGGGCAGUACCCAAGCGCCGGUCCACCCACAUAUCAAACUAUCAAAGUAGCUAACGCGAAUAAUAUGAACACGAUGAAAACUAGCUUGACAGAAAUUCCCAUGUGUCAUCGGGAGCGUUUUACCUCCUAUAAGAGUUUGUCCAGGCUUGUUCCUUCCUACAAAAGGGAUUGGGCCACUUUGCUGCACCGUUGUUACUUUUGUUACUUGCUACUUGCUAUGAAUCAUCUUGUCACACAACUACUUGUUACCGAUAAUUUCAGUGCUUGCAGAGAAUACCUUGCUGAAAACCACUUGUCAGAUCCUUCUACUCCUCGUUGGGUUCGACACUCUUACUUAUCAAAAGGACUACAAUAGAUCCCCUAUACUUGUGGGUCAUCAAUGAUCUACUCCUGCAGGGCUCCGCCCGAGCUCCGCAAAAAUCCGAUCUAGAGGUAAAACUAUGUGGAAUAAGCUAGAGUUGCAUGUGGCAAAGUUGUGUCUCAAAAAGCCCUAAACCACCAAUAUAUAUAGGAGGAGGGGAGGGGCUAGCCUUGGGGCACAAGGGCACCAAGGGUGCACCGGCCGCCACGUAGGAGGAGGACUCCUCCUCCAAUUCAAUUUGGGAAGGAGGAGUCCUCCUCUUCCUUCCUUUGGUAGUUUUACAUGUGGCGCCAUAGCCCUCUUGGGCUGACUCCACUAGCCCACUAAGGACUUGGUGCGCCACCCUAGGGCCUUGGGCUUACUCCCGGGUGGGUGGGCCCCUCCCGGUAAACACCCGGAACCCAUUCGUCACUCCCGGUACACUGUCGAAAUUGCCCGAAACUUUCCGGUGACCAAAUGAAACCAUCCUAUAUAUCAAUCUUCGUUUCCGGAAUGUAGUGGGUAUAAGUGUGACAGUAGAUGUGUAGGGUACGAAAGGGUGGGCAGAGCCUUAGCUACGACGAGGUUGUAUGAGUUCAGGUCCCUCUACGGUGGAGGUAAAAGCCCUACGUCUCAGUGCUCUUGGGAGCUUGAUGUCGAGUGGAAUAUGGAUUACAAUGAAUUGCUAACCCCUGCACCAGUGGGGAAGGGCGACUUAUAUAGAGUGCGCUGCCCUUCACAACGGUUCAGUGCACAGGGGUGGAGUAGUGGCGAUUAAAUGUGUACGUUACAGGUAACGUAUGCCUUAAAUGCUAAUAAAGGUACAUGAAAACGUAUGACCGUUGCCCUCCAGGGGGGUUACGAUGUAUAGAGUGGAAUCCAGUCGGUAAGUUUGAUACGCUCCGAAUGCUCAUCUCCGACUGGAUGAUGGAGGAAUCUUCACCGACUGGAUGAUGGGAAGUCCUUAAUUCAGUCGGAACUGAGUAAGGGCCUUGUCCCUUAUGAAGGGUAGUCCUUGCGUAGGACCUAUAGGGCAGGCGUAUGACCCUACCCUAGGACUAUAACCCCAUCAUUAGUCCCCGAAUGGAUCGGGGUUGGAACAACGAAGCGAUGCUUGGAGUACGGAUCUGACUAGUAUGGAUGCGACUUUGGCGUUGUUUGCCUUGAUCCAUUUUAUCCUCUUGACCAGUGAUCCAAGUGGAUAUAUCUAUGAAACGAACCGUCAGAGACCGAGUGCUUUCGUGGAAUCUUUUGACGUGACCGGUCAACUGACAGCGGCGGAUUUUCUGGGAUCCUCAAAUUUCGGUUGCCGCGCGCUCAGCGGGGAUGACGACAUCGUCAUCGAGUAGUAUCUGCCGCCUCGAUUUCCGCGCCUUCAUCUCCUCCACUAAUAUCGCAGCAACCGGUCGGGGGAUAAGAUUUCGGGGCCACCUGCUAGUGACCCAAUCGGAACCUUAUUUAAACCUCUCCAGCGAGGGUUUCUCGUUGCACUCGCCUGAUAACUCGCACUCGCCCCGCUUCUCCCGUGGCUUCCUGCGCACCCCAAGCUCCUUCCUUCUUCUCCUCCUCCGUGGAUCUGCAGCCUCCACCAUGACGAAGGGGCGGACGAGCAAGCUCGAGGCGCGGAAGAAGAAGAAGACGGCGGCUCCCGCUCAACGGCGACAGCGGGCACUGCCGGCGGGUUGGAUCCAGGGGGAUUUCCUCCCCUCCACGGUGACGAAGAGCGACAUGCUGGAGCUGGUGGAGCAAGGCCUGAUCGAGAACAAGACGUGGAGGCUGCCGGCAGAGGGCGAGAUGGAGCCGGCGCCCCAGGAGGGGGAGCGCGUCUUGCUGCUCAGUCACGUGUACCGAGGCUUCUCUCUACCUCCUCAUCCCUUCUUCAGAGGUAUAAUGAACCACUUCGGGGUGCAGCUCCACCAUUUUCCUCCCAACGCAAUAGCUCAUCUCUCUGCCUUCGUCGUGCUUUGCGAGUGUUUUAUCGGUUGUCCUCCUCAUUGGGGGCUCUUAAGCACAUCUUCUCCGCUAGAUCCCAAACCAUCAAAAGACUUAGCCAGUCGGACGACAAAACUCAUCUCCUCCAGCUCUGCGGAGGCUUGGGCUUCUAGAAGAAAAGAAAAAGUAGCUAUCCCGCUCUUCAGUUGUCUGAAUCCGUUAGCAACUGGCAGUCGACUUGGUUCUACUGCCAGGACGUCGCUUGUUCGAAUGCCGCAACUGGACUGCCACUGUUUAGCCUAGACCGACCGGCUCCGCCUAGGCAGCUUGCACUCACGAAGAUGGAAAAGAUCCAGAUUCAGCCUCUAGUCGACGUGCUGGUAGAUGUCGUCCGCAAGGGAGUCACCGGCAUAGAUUUGCUGGAGAUUUUUCUGGGUUGGCGUAUCUAGCCUUUGCAAGCUCGACACCACGCCAUGUGGCACUACAUGGGGCCUGAGGACUCCACUCGGACUCACCCCGAGUGCAUGACUGAGGAAGUUGUGACGACGUGGGUCCGCGACAUCAUAGGCGCCUGCGAUAACCCCAGAGGAGCCCGGCGAGUGAAGCCCUUCCGCACGGACAACCCUCCUCCGAAUGAGGUGAGUAUAACUUGUCAAGUGCUCACAAUUGUCUUAGAUUUAUCGCUUUUUCUUGUACCACUGUCUGACGUCUGACGUUGUCGACUGUAUCUCGUGCAGGCAUGGACUAACUGGUUUUCUCCCGUCUCAAACGGGAAUCCGGCUGAGGAAGAGGAAGGCAGCCAGGAGGGCAGCCUGGAGAGCGCCGAGGACGUCUCCGACAGUGGGGAGACGGAGGAGGAGUCCGAAGAGGAGGAGGGGGAAGAUGAGGAGUAGAGCUUGCCACCGCCACCACCAGAGCCUCGAACUAAGCGCCGCCAUGAACCUGUGACUCCGUCGGCUCCCCCAGCGGCUCCGAGUGCCCCGCCAGCUCCUCCUGUGGUUCCGGGCGCCUUGCCAGCUACUCUCGUGGCUCCGAGCGCCUUGCCAGCUACUCNNNNNNNNNNNNNNNNNNNNNNNNNNNNNNNNNNNNNNNNNNNNNNNNNNNNNNNNNNNNNNNNNNNNNNNNNNNNNNNNNNNNNNNNNNNNNNNNNNNNNNNNNNNNNNNNNNNNNCGCCUUGCCAGCUACUCCCGUGGCUCCGAGUGCUCGGAGCACAAAGAGGACUAGGGACGCUGCUGCUGAGCCCGCGGGCCAACCUCCCAAGGUGGCUAAACCGAGUGGAUCCAAGCCUCGGAAGGCUCUGCCNNNNNNNNNNNNNNNNNNNNNNNNNNNNNNNNNNNNNNNNNNNNNNNNNNNNNNNNNNNNNNNNNNNNNNNNNNNNNNNNNNNNNNNNNNNNNNNNNNNNNNNNNNNNNNNNNNNNNNNNNNNCCUCGGAAGGCUCUGCCUCGAAUGAGGAUCGCCGUUCCCGUUGCCUCAGUGUAAGUGUCUCGUUCUCCUAUCUUCUUUCAGUAUUUGAUUGAACUCAUGUUUAUUGGUCGAGUGGAUUUUACUCGACAGAGCUGCUACCUCCGCCACUUCUCCGCCACGCCAGGAAGACGAUCCCAUGGAUACGGACAACGUUGCCACAUCCCAGCAAGGUACGUCGUGGCGACUCCGAGAGCUUACAUUAUUGUUGCACGAAUUCUGUCUUUGAUCUUUCCCUUUUUCCUAUGGUCUCACGUCGUUCGGUUGGGCUUCCUUCAGAGGUGAUUCAUGUGGAGGAGGACAACCAGAAGAGGACCGACCAAGCUGCGGUGCCUGUCCUUGAGGCUGUUCCAUCUGCUACUACUCCCACCAUGGACGCGCCGCCAACCGAGACGAUGUCGUCGACUGAAACGGCGCUCAUCGCUGCUGAACNNNNNNNNNNNNNNNNNNNNNNNNNNNNNNNNNNNNNNNNNNNNNNNNNNNNNNNNNNNNNNNNNNNNNNNNNNNNNNNNNNNNNNNNNNNNNNNNNNNNNNNNNNNNNNNNNNNNNNNNNNNNNNNNNUGAACCGACUGGAGCAGGACUUGGGAUGCCCAAGGAGUCUCUUGUGGUGCCAGGUCUGUCGACCGUCCAGUACGACGCCCAACGCCUCCCAGAAGAUCAUGGUGCAGGCGGAGUUGAUAGCGGGUGAUGCCAAGCGUGCGUACCACUCUAUCGCGUUCUGUGUACAAGCGAAGCUUGGAACUCCGGGACGAUAUCCGAGUAAGUGGGCUAGUAAGUAUUUACUUUCCUCUUGUAACCCAGUGGGUGUUUAAGUAAUAUACUCGGAUGCAGUAUGAUUAUUUUGUAGUGGGUUCACUCUUAGUGAACCCNNNNNNNNNNNNNNNNNNNNNNNNNNNNNNNNNNNNNNNNNNNNNNNNNNNNNNNNNNNNNNNNNNNNNNNNNNNNNNNNNNNNNNNNNNNNNNNNNNNNNNNNNNNNNNNNNNNNNNNNNNUCACUCUUAGUGAACCCAGUGGGUGUAGUCCCCGAGACUUCUGUCGAGUGCUUGCACCGGCAGUUGUCUUUAUAUACAUUUUCUUUAACUUGAUCAGAUCAAAACUAAUCUGUUCGAGUGUUAUCGGUGGGGGCACUCCGAGUGCACCUACUGGAAGUAGUCCCCGAGAGUAAUUUUACUCAGGUCGGGUAGUAGUAGCCUCAUAGGCUUGUUUUUGUUAUUUAGCUCAAUAGGGCGGACCUGUCUGAGCUUCAUGGCAGUGGGGUCACUCUUAGUGAACCCACUGGGUGUAGUCCCCGAGGCCGCUGUCGACUGCUCGCGUCGGCAGGGGUCUGAAGAACCUCGAGCUUUUAUUGUUUUCCUUGUUGAAUUUGUCUGAUCUUCUCUUCGCGCUGAUUUGCAGAAGACUUGCGAGAUGGGAUCAGCGUACAACGCUCUGAAGACUGAAAAGAUUCAGCUUGCUGCGAAACUGGAGGCAGCUGUUCAUGACUUGGAUGGUGUGAAGGGCGCUCUGGCGGAACGAGAGAAGUCCUUGGAGGAGUCCCCUGAGGCAAACAAGGCAUUGGUGGCCGAAAUGGAGAAAAUGGGGAAACAAAGAACCGAGCUGAUGGGACAGAUGAAGGUGAUGAACAGGCGGUGCAUAUCAUAGGAGAAGUACGUCAGUGACUGGGCAAAGAAGAUGAUUGCGCUUCUCAGUGGUAAGUUCUGUUUUUCCGAGUGCUUCUUGACUGUGUAUUUCAUUCUGGCUUACUUUGUGCUCGUCUUGUCUUUGCAGAUUUUUGUAUGGACGCUGAGGCUGAAGCAGCUGAUGUUGAGCGGUCGGUUAUUCCGAACGUUCCACUCGGUGACGACGCCAAUCGAGACAUGCUCCGAGCGCAUAUUCGCCUGGGCAAAGUGGGACCUUUCAUCGGUCGACUGAGAGAGGUGGUCGGCCGAAUCGACAAGGAGCUGUGGCCCGGAGACGAAUCCCGGCGAGAGAUGGAAGGGUUGAUGACUCGGCUGGAGGACGUCCCGAACCGAGUGCAGGCGUGGAAGAAGUCUGCUGCUCGCUGUGGUGCGGACGUGGCGCUGUCGCUGGUCCGAGUGCACUGCAAGGAGGCUCGUGAAGAGAAGCUGAAGGCGUUGCAAGUUGCUAACACCAAGAAGCUUUGAUUCGAAGAUUUCAUGGAGACCUUCCUUGAGAGCGCCACUCGCAUCACAGACGGGAUCGACCUCGACACUUUCGUGGAGCCUGCCAGUCCUGACGAUGCUUGAAAAAACUUUACCUCGGUAUGCCGAGUGGUAGUUGUAUCAAACUUUGGCCACUGCUGUUGGCCGUCACGUUCGUGGUUCGGUGUGGAUAAGCUUGAUCUACACCGAACCGACUAUCUUUAAACCAACUUUGAAUUUGAAUCUAAUAUUUUGCUCUUCCUUUGCCAAAUAAUUGUUGACACGAUUUUGGCUCGUGGUUUUUGUUUGGCGUUUCUUGGUGAAGCCAGUGGCAAACAUGCGGAGCAUGUAGUUGUCAGUUGUCUUGGCAUUUGCAUGAGCCUCAAUGAGGGUCUGCUAAGUCUCCGAGUGGAUCUGUAGGAUACAGUCGAAGGCAAUUGUUUACUUAGGCGAUUCGUGAUCGCAGCUAAGUCUUCGAGCGCGACUGUAAAGUCGUACUCGGAGCGAGUUGCUACUCAUGUAAGUGUGAGUUGUCUUGGCAUCUACAUGAGCCUCGAUGAGGGUCUGCUACUCAUGUAAUUGUCAGUUGUCUUGACAUCUACAUGAGCCCCAAUGAGGGUAGUUGGUAACCUCCGAGUGGAUCUCUAAGAUACACUCGAAGGAAACUUUUUUACUUAGGCGAUUCUUGAUCGCAAACAAGUGUCCGAGUGUGACGGUUAGAGCGCACUCAGAGAAAGUUGUUGUUUAGGUGAUUCUGGAUCGCAGCUAAGUCCCCGAGAGCGACGUGUAGUGCACACUCGGAGAAGGUUGGUACUUAGGCGAUUCUUGAUCGCAGCUAAGUCCUCGAGUGCGACGUGUAGUCCACACUCGGAGAAAGUUGGUACUUAGGCGAUUCUUGAUUGCAGCUAAGUCCNNNNNNNNNNNNNNNNNNNNNNNNNNNNNNNNNNNNNNNNNNNNNNNNNNNNNNNNNNNNNNNNNNNNNNNNNNNNNNNNNNNNNNNNNNNNNNNNNNNNNNNNNNNNNNNNNNNNNNNNNNNNNNNNNNNNNNNNNNNNNNNNNNNNNNNNNNNNNNNNNNNNNNNNNNNNNNNNNNNNNNNNNNNNNNNNNNNNNNNNNNNNNNNNNNNNNNNNNNNNNNNNNNNNNNUAGUGCACACUCUUUUUUUUUAGACCGGAGUCUGCAAAUGCGAAAGAAUUUUGCAUCUGCAAAAACUCAAUCUGCUUUGUAUUACUUCAACGAUACUUGUUCUUUACAUUACUUCAGUCGACGGUCACGUGUAGAAGCGCUUCAGGAGAUCCCCGUUCCGUGCUCUCGGCUCGUCCGUUUCCCUAUCGAGGUUGUAGAGUCGAUAUGCUCCGUUGUUGAGCACCUUGGAGAUGAUGAAGGGUCCUUCCCAAGCGGGAGCCAACUUGUGAGGUCUCUGCUGAUCCACUCGGAGCACCAGGUCGCCUUCUUGGAAUGUACGACUCCUGACGUGUCGCGCGUGAAAGCGCCGCAGAUCUUGUUGAUAAAUGGUUGAGCGAGUCAGUGCCAUCUCGCGCUCCUCCUCUAGAAGAUCCACUCCGUCUUGCCUUGCUUGCUCUGCUUCAGCUUUGGAGAAUAGUUCAACUCGUGGAGCAUUGUGAAGCAAGUCACUCGGAAGGACUGCCUCUGCUCCGUAAACGAGGAAGAACGGGGAUCGCCCUAUAGAUCUAUUUGGGGUUGUGCGGAGACCCCACAGCACCGAAGGCAGCUCGGUGACCCAUGCGCCGGCAGCAUGUCCCACUUCUCGCAGGAGUCGAGGCUUCAAACCUUGCAGAAUAAGUCCAUUCGCCCGCUCUGCUUGCCCGUUUGUUUGGGGAUGCGCCACAGAUGCAAAAUCCACUCGGAUACCUUGGCAUGUACAGAAACCUUUGAAUCUGUCCGAGUCAAAGUUUGUGCCAUUGUCAUUGAUUAUGUUGUGCGGUAUCCCGAAUCUGGAGAUGAUGUCCCUGACAAACUUGAUGGCUGUAAGGGCGUCGAGCUUCUUGAUGGGCUUGGCUUCAAUCCACUUUGUGAACUUGUCGACUGCCACCAAUACAUGUGUGAAUCAACCUUGGCCUGUCCUGAAUGGACCGACUGUAUCUAAUCCCCACACUGCAAACGGCCAAACAAGAGGGAUUGUCUUCAACGCAGAUGUUGGCUUGUGGGACUUGUUAGAGUAAAACUGACAGCCUUCGCAUCGGUCGACCAUAUCCUUUGCCAUUUCAUUCGCCUGCAACCAGAAGAAACCGGCUCUGAAUGCUUUGGCGACGAUUGCCCUUGAGGAGGCGUGAUGACCGCAGGUUCUCGAGUGAAUUUCUUCCAGGAUUAACUGUCCCUCCUCAGGGGAGAUGCAUCAUUGAAGGAUGCCUGAAACGAUUUCCUUGUACAACUCGCCAUCAAUGACAGUGAACGACUUUGACCUGCGGACGAUCUGUCUGGCUUGGACUACGUCUUUUGGUAAUUCUUGCCUCAGAAUGUAUGCAAUGAACGGCACAGUCCAAUCGGGGAUGAUAGCAAGAAUCUCCAUGAUCAAAUCAACCACAGUAGGGACUUCGACUUAAGUCGGAUCUGUCGAGCUCUUUGGUUGUACUGGUUCCUCUGUGAAAGGAUCUUCUUUAACUGAGGGAAGGUGAAGGUGCUCGAGGCAGACGUCACUCGGGACUGGUCCCCGAGUGGAUCCAAGUUUCGCCAAUUCAUCAGCUGCUUGGUUUUUCAGUCGCGGAACAUGGUGGAGUUCCAGACCUUCAAUCUUUUUCUCGAACUUCCUCACUGCAUUGCAAUAUGUGGUCAUGGUGGGAUUCCUUACGUCCCACUCCUUCAUCACUUGAUUAGCUACCAAAUCUAAAUCACCGUAGACCAUCAGGCGACGGACGCCGAGUGCGAUGGCCAUGCGCAAUCCAUAAAGGAGAGCCUCAUACUCUGCCUCAUUGUUGGAGGAAUCGAAGUGUAUCUGCAACACAUACUUGAGUUUGUCACCCUUUGGUGAUAUGAUCACAACGCCAGCGCCGGAGCCAUUCAACAUCUUGGACCAAUCGAAAAACAUUGUCCAAUGAGCCGAGUAGAUGUGGGUCGGUUGCUGUUGUUCUACCCAUUCUGCUAUGAAGUCAGCCAGAGCUUGAGACUUUAUAGCUUUCUUGGCCUCGAACUUGAUGCCGCAGUAUAACAUCUCCAUCGCCCACUUCGCCACUCGGCCCGAUGCGUCCCGAUUGUGGAGGAUUUCCGACAACGGAGCAUUAGAAACGACAAACACCGAGUGGUCUUGGAAAUAAUGAGCCACCUUCUUCGCAGUCAUGUAAAUCCCGUAGAUAAGUUUUUGAUAGUGGGGAUACCUCUGCUUGGAAGGAGUCAGGACUUCGGAGACAUAAUACACUGGUCGCUGAACCUUGUAUGCUUUGCCUUCUUCUUCGCGUUCGACUGUGAGAACAGUGCUGACGACUUGAUUUGUAGCCGCGAUGUACAGAAGAAGGGGUUCUUUACUGAGCGGAGCAGGAAGAACCGGCUGGGUGGAAAGUAGGACUUUGAGGUUGUCGAAUGCAAUUUGGGCUUCGUCUGUCCACUCGAAAGUAUCUGAUUUCUUCAUGAGUCGGUACAGAGGAAGUGCCUUCUCGACGUCGACUAAUAAACCUGCUCAAAACCGCUAGGCAACCUGUGAGCCUUUGAACAUCGUGUAUUCUAACCGGCCGCUCCAUUCGGACGAUGGUCCCGAUCUUUUCGGGGUUGACAUCGAUCCCUUGUUCGGAAACGAAGAAACCGAGUAACUUUCCGCUGGGAACACCGAAUGAACACUUGGCUGGGUUGAGCUUGAUAUCGUACCUACGAAGGUUGGCGAAUGUUUCUGCCAAGUCAGUCAGCAGGUCGGAACCUUUGCGUGACUUGACUAUGAUAUCAUCCAUAUACGCCUCCACAUUUCGACCGAUCUGGUCAAGGAGGCAUUUUUGGAUCAUGCGCAUAAAGGUUGCUCCUGCAUUCUUCAAAUCAAAUGGCAUGGUGAUGUACCAGAAGCACCCGAAUGGGGUGAUGAAGGCUGUUUUUAAUUCAUCGGGGCCAUACAGACGGAUCUGAUGGUAGCCCGAGUAGGCAUCAAGGAAUGACAAAUGCUCGCAACCCGCAGUCGAAUCGACAAUUUGAUCGAUGCGGGGGAGCGGGAAAUGGUCUUUCGGGCAGACCUUAUUGAGAUGCUUGAAGUCGAUGCACAUUCGGAGAGACUUGUCCUUCUUGGGCACCAUGACAACAUUGGCGAGCCACUCGGAGUGGUGUACCUUGCGAAUGAAGUUGGCUGCCAAAAGCUUAGCCACCUCUUCUCCGAUUGCCUUCCUCUUGUGCGCGGCGGACUAACAAAGGCGUUCUUGGACAGGCCGAGCAACAGGAUCCACAUGCAGUCGGUGCUCAGCCAACUCCCUGGGUACACCUCGCAUAUCAGCGGGCUUCCAUGCAAAAAUGUCCCAGUUCUCACAGACGAAUUGGAUGAGCUCGGCUUCCUAUUUAGGAUCGAGGGUGGUGGAGAUGUUUGUCGGGGUAGCAGCGUCGUCUGUCAGGUGGAUGCUGACCUUCUUCGUUUCUCCCGCCGACUGGAAUGCGGAUUUCGAAGGUGGCUUCUUCGAACGCAUCAAGUCAGCGGGGUCGACUGUCUUCUUGUACUCGUCAAGCUCAAGGACAGCCAUCUGCUGAUCGGCGAUCCUCGAUCCCAGCUGCAGACACUCCUCGGCCGCUGCCGAUUGCCUGUGAUAGUGAUCACACCUUUUGGGCCUGGCAUCUUCAGCUUCAGGUACACGUAACAUGGACGGGCCAUGAAACGCGUAUAUGCCGGUUGGCCCACAAUUGUGUGGUACGCACUCUGGAAGUCCACCACCUCGAACGUCUGUUUUUCCUUGCAGAAGUUCUUGUCGGAGCCGAAGACGACGUCCAACGCGAUCUGGCCGAGUGACUUGGCCUUUUGUCCAGGGACGACUCCAUGGAGCUGCAUGCUGCUCUCGCUAAGUUUGGAAAUCGGAAUGCCCAUCCCCUUGAGAGUGUCAGCGUACAUGAUGUUCAAGCCGCUGCCGCCGUCCACGAGGACUUUGCGCAAUCGGACUCCUUCCACCACCGGGUCGACGACCAAGGCCUGCCUCCCUGGGGUGGGUACGUGUGCUGGAUGAUCCGACUGGUCAAAGGUGAUCGCAGUCUGAGACCAUUUGAGGAACGUGGGAUUGGUCGGGGUGGCCAUGUUCACCUCCAUGUUCAUCAACUUCAGUCGACUCUUGCUUUCAACGUCAGCAAAAAUCAUCAGUGUGGCAUAGACUUGGGGGAACGGAUCCUCCUUGUCCUCCUCAUCCUGUUCAUUGUCCUUUUCAGUCGGCUACCCUUCGCCGAACCCUUGGAUCAGGAGGCCACAUUGCCGAGUGGUAUGCUUCGGAAAUAUGGCGUUGCCCUCUUCAUCCAUCUUCGUGUGGAUUGGACAUGGAUGGUCCAGGAUGUGGUUUCCGAACUGCUUCUUCUUGGGGGUGGAAUGAGCCUUCCCCUUGCCCUUGAACUUGGCAUUGGUAACGGCUGUGGCCUCUGCCUGCGGAGUGGACGGAGCUUUCUGCUUCUGCUUCCGAGUGUUGUUCCCAUCUCCAUCGGCGACUUCUUUGUGCUUGCCGCUACGAAUGCGGUCCUCUUCUUCGCCAUUUGCAUAGCGUGCCGCUAUCUCCAUCAUCUUGCUCAUGGAGAUGUCGCAUGUUCGACCGAACUUUAGGUACAGAUCUCUGUACCGCACGCCUGCCUUGAAGGAGCAAACUGCUUGGUGCUCUGUGACGUUCUCCACCGUGUGGUAGAGGGUUGUCCAACGUUGGAUGAAAUCGCACAGGGGCUCAUUCUGCUUCUGGACACAGUGCUGGAGCUCCACGAGACCAGCAGGGCGUUUGCACGUCCCCUCGAAGGUCCCGAUGAAGACUCGGGCCAGAUCUGCCCAACUGUAGAUGCUUGAAGGAGCCAACUGGUUCAGCCACGCUCGUGCCGAGCCAUCGAGCAUCAGGGGGAGAUGUUUCAUGGCGACCUGGUCAUCUCCACCGCCGAUCUGGACUGCCACUCGGUAGUCGUCCAGCCACGUUUCUGGCUUGGAUUCUCUCCUGUAAACUUGUUGAUUCCCGUCGCCAAUCGGAAGUUGGGAGGGAUGUCAGCCGAACGGAUGGCUCGACUGAAACACUCGGGGCCAGAGACAAUGGUCCUACUUCCACUCGAACGGUCUAUAUCAUGACCAUCGCGGUGGGCCCGGCCCCUGUCGACCCUCCUCUGGGCGAUAUAUCCUCUUGCGUCGGGCCUUGGAUCAUAAGUGUCACCGACCGAACGCCGAUCAUCAUGAUGUCGGGGCCCGUAGGGCCCACCCCACGGAGGGGUGCGUGAACGGCGACGAUCUUCGGGAUUCAUGGAACGGUUGCCUCCCCUAUGUCGCUGAUGAGAACCGGGGCUGUGAACUGACCAAUGCGUGUUCGCGCGAACAGAACUAUUGUGGAUCCUGUUUUGCGACUGGGAGACUGCCGAAUUUUGCUGCUGCGCCAUGUGCAGCAGGGCGCGGAUCUGCUCGAUCCCUCUGCCAGCCUCUGAAUCAGUUGGCUGGAGGGAAUCGGCUAUCUUGGCAGCGGCAGCCAGGUUGAGGACAGGUGUGCGGAACACCUCCACGUUGGUGUGACGAGUGCGCCGACUGGCAGAACGGCGGGGCUGACGGCGCGCGCCGGAUGUUUCGCCGACCUCGUGCUCGUUCCGGCCGGUUUGGCGGGGACUUUCAUGGGAGUUGGCCAUGUGCACUUCGGCUGCAGGCCCGCGACCCAAGUACUCGGAAGGAAACUCAGUCGGAACUGAGUCCGAGCGCUCGGACGGCGGCGCAACUACAACCGACUCGAGGACCGCCACUUGUGAAGACGCGCUCUGGCGCGCCUGGGCAUGUUGCACCCAACGCUGGAGCCGUGGACGGCGAGACCGCUUGUUGCGGCGCGUAAGGGGGGCGAAGGUCGACACCAGAGCCGACUGCUGGAGAAGAAGGAUGCCGCGGGCGCCGGCACGGAACUGCGUAGCCCUGCGACUGGGAGCGCCUCGACGUCGAGAAGAGCAUCCCGAAGCCAUGCCGAAUCGUCGACGAUGAAGGAGAGAGCGCCGAAGAGGAUCUCAUGAACCAUGCACAAAUCUCCACCGCGCGACAAGAUGAAAAGAUGUAGUCGCAAACUCGCCGAAAGUCGCUUAGACGCCUGCCCCAUGGUGGGCGCCAACUGUCGUGGGUAUAAGUCUGACAGUAGAUGUGUAGGGUACGAAAGGAUGGGCAGAGCCUUAGCUACGACGAUGUUGUAUGAGUUCAGGCCCCUCUGCGAUGGAGGUAAAAGCCCUACGUCUCAGUGCUCUUGGGUGCUUGAUGUCGAGUGGAAUAUGGAUUAAAUUGAAUUGCUAACCUCUGCACCAGUGGGGAAGGGCGACUUAUAUACAGUGCGCUGCCCUUCACAACGGUUCGGUGCACAGGGGUGGAGUAGUGGCGAUUAAAUGUCUACGUUACAGGUAACGUAUGCCUUAAAUGCUAAUAAAGGUACAUGAAAACGUAUGACCGUUGCCCUCCAGGGGGGUUACGAUGUACACAGUGGUAUCCAGUCGGUAAGUUUGAUACGCUCCGAUUGCUCAUCUCCGACUGGAUGAUGGAGGAAUCGUCACCGACUGGAUGAUGGGAAGUCCUUAAUUCAGUCGGAACUGAGUAAGGGCCUUGUCCCUUAUGAAGGGUAGUCCUUGGGCAGGACCUAUAGGGCAGGCCUAUGACCCUACCCUAGGACUAUAACCCCAUCACGGACCAUUUCAAAAACCCUCGUGACGUCUGUGAUGUCAUCCGGGACUCCGAACAACAUUCGGUAACCACACAUAUAACUCAACUAUACUAAAACAUCAUCGAACCUUAAGUGUGCAGAACCUGCGGGUUCGAAAACUAUGUAGACAUGACACGAGACACUCCUCGGUCAAUAUCCAAUAGCAGGACCUGGAUGCCCAUAUUGGAUCCUACAUAUUCAUCGAAGAUCUUAUCGGUUGAACCUCAGUGCCAAGGAUUCAUAUAAUCCCAUAUGUCAUUCCCUUUGUCCUUUUGUAUGUUACUUGCCCGAGAUUCGAUCGUCGGUAUCCGCAUACCUAUUUCAAUCUCGUUACCGGCAAGUCUCUUCACUCGUUCUGCAAUACAAGAUCCCGUGACUUACACUUAGUCACAUUUCUUGCAAGGCUUGUUUGUGAUGUUGUAUUACCGAGUGGGCCCCGAGAUACCUCUCCGUCACACGGAGUGACAAAUCCCAGUCUUGAUCGAUACUAACUCAACGGACACCUUCGGAGAUACUUCUAGAGCACCUUUAUAGUCACCCAGUUAUGUUGCGACGUUUGAUACACACAAGGUAUUCCUCUGGUGACAGUGAGUUAUAUGAUCUCAUGGUCAUAGGAAUAAAUACUUGACACGCAGAAAAUAAUAGCAAUAAAAUGACACGAUCAAUAUGCUACGUUCAUAGUUUGGGUCUAGUCCAUCACAUGAUUCUGCUAAUGAUGUGAUCCAGUCAUCAAGUGACAACACUUGCAUAUAGUCGGAAAACCUUGACUAUCAUUGAUCAACUAGCUAGCCAACUAGAGGCUUGCUAGGGACAUUGUUUUAUCUAUGUAUCCACACAUGUAUCUAUGUUUUCAUUCAAUACAAUUAUAGCAUGGAUAAUAAACUAUUAUCUUGUAACAGGAAAUAUAAUAAUAACUAUUUUAUCAUUGCCUCUAGGGCAGAUUUCCAACAGCGGCGUGGCGGCAGGAGCUGACAUGGGAGGCGCUGAUAGAGACGGCAUAGGAGGACAAGCCGCAACAUGGAAGACUUUUCGGCGAGAGUCCUUGCGAGGUUGAGUUUCCACUGCGAGCUGCAGCAUGGAGCGUACUUCGAUGAAGGUUGGAGGAGGCCUCAUCAUCGGUAUGAAGGAGGCCUCCUUGUCAAAAUCCUUGUUGAGCCUGACGACAAUGAUGUUGAUGAGUUGCGAGUCGCUAACGGGAUCGUCGAGCUCGCGAAACUCAUUACCGAUGGCCUUGAUGCGUUGACACAAGAGGUUCGUCAUGGCAUCGCCUUGGGCCAAGUUACGAAGCUCGGUGUGCAGAGCGGGUUUUUUCGAGCAUCGAUAUUGCUUUGAAAAAGCUGGCGAAGGGAACCCGAGAUGUUGGCAGCGGUGGCGCCGUCGUGAUCAAGCAUGUUGAAGAUCUCGGUGGUGAUGCGGAUAUUGAACCACUGAACAAUGUGAGAUCAUCUUUCACCCAUUGAUGAUCAUCGGGGCUAGGAAGACUGUUGGAGGCGACGUGAGACCGGAGGUUGUAGUGUCCCACGUGUAGAUCAUAGAGGUGGCGCCAAUGAUAAUAGUUGUGGGCGGCAAGGUCAAGUAUGAUGGGGAUAAAGGGGCUGACAUCGGUGAUGGUGUCGACGAGCGACAUUGGUGCAGCGAGGAGGGUAGUAGGAGGUAUUGGUGGUGCUAGAUAAAGAGUAGAGGAAGAAGAUGCCGCAUCGGCGACGGCUUUGGCGAUGAGAGCACUCCGGUGCUCGAAGUAGCCGGACGGCGACGACGGUGGUGGAGUGGGCGGAGCCAUACCCUAAACCCUAGGAUCAAUAUUUGGUACCAUGAUAAAUGAAUAGAACUAUUGCUUAUUGAUUAUUUUGUAAAUGAUACUCUCUCCGUCCCAAAAUAAUUGUCUCAAGCUUAGUACAACUUUGUACUAAAGUGUAACAUCCCAAAUUUCCAAUUUCGAAUGUUAUUGCAUUAGAGCAUCUUGCAUAUCAUAUUUUAUUUGCAUAAUUGCUGAUCCUAAAAAUUCUAAGCAACUCAAGGACCCUUGCAGAGAGUUGGGAAUUUAUUUAUUUUCGUAUUGGAAUUUUCUCAAAUAAUGAAAAGAGGAUCAUUAGUUUUUAAUUAUUUUUCUCUUCAAAUAUUUCAUAUAUAAAAAUAUGAGAGAGGGGAUAAAAUGACUUUCCCAAAAAUAAAAAAUAUUUGAGAGGAAAUAAUAAAGCCAAAUAAUAAUUUUUAUUUGGAUUUUAUUUGCUAUUUUAUUGGAUUUACGAAAAUAUCGCAUUUUUCAAAAUAUAACUUCGCCCUUUUAAAAAUGUCCACGUUGUAGAGCUCAUUUUUAGGAGUCCGGCAAAAUUUGUUUCAUCGAAAUCGGAGUUCGUAUGGACUUACUUUUUAAUUUUCUAUAUCGUCCGAUUUCAAAAAAAUGAACCGACCCCGGAGGCCUAUAUAAGCCCCUCCCCCCCGCGCGCACAAACCCUAGCCGCCACUCGCUGGAGCACGCCGCCCGAGGUAGAAAAAAUUCAGAAUUUUUUUUGGUUUAUUUAAUUAACGGACGUUCGUCCGUACGUUUGUUUUAAAGAACACUGUUCGUUAAUUAAUUUCAGACGACGAACGUUCGUUCGUCCGUCUGUUCAUCAGAUUUAUUUUCUGGGAUUUUUCCGCGGUUANNNNNNNNNNNNNNNNNNNNNNNNNNNNNNNNNNNNNNNNNNNNNNNNNNNNNNNNNNNNNNNNNNNNNNNNNNNNNNNNNNNNNNNNNNNNNNNNNNNNNNNNNNNNNNNNNNNNNNNNNNNNNNNNNNNNNNNNNNNNNNNNNNNNNNNNNNNNNNNNNNNNNNNNNNNNNNNNNNNNNNNNNNNNNNNNNNNNNNNNNNNNNNNNNNAAACGCCUAGAUUUUCGCCAUGAAAAUCUCUUUCCGACUAAUCCACUUGCAUAAGAUUUUUAAAAAUAAAUGUUUUACUUUAGUCCAGAUUAGUAAACGAAUCUCGUUUCUUUCGCAGUUUGAGUUUCGUUGAUCCGUUUGAUUUGAUUCUUUUUGCAAACCGGAGCUCUUUACUUGAACUUUCUGCUUAGAUCUUAUUCGAUUUUACCCGUGCAUCUAUACUGUUGCUUAUGUGUGCUAUUGUUUGUUGCGAUAGAAUACCCGGAUUGUAAAGCGUGCUACUAUGAGUCCCUAGGUUUUGCGGAUCAUCAGCAAGGCAAGUAACACCUUGAUCAUAUCCCCUAUUACCUAGUUUUUAUUGCAUUAGAUCCACCCUCACACAUUGCAUGGUUAGGAUCUAAUUAACAUGUGGGUAUUGGGAAGUAGAUACUAAGGUAGAACCUAUUACCUGUUUACUAUCAAACUUUUGGGAGUUACUUCUACGUUAUGCUAUUAUUGCUAUGCUAUGCUCGUAGACGAUUAUUUGGGUGAGUGAUUUCCAUGACAUAUGUGAGCAUUGUUAGUUAACGGUUAACCUAAGGUGGAUACUUAAAUACACAUCUGGGUGGAUUGCUUGAGGCACCCUGGAAUCCCUAAUGGCUGUCAGGAUAUCCCGGGGGAACCGUGUGAUCAUCCUAAGGUCCGCCACCCAGCUUCAAAUGGAUCAUAAGACUAUUCAUACCUGAAACUUACGUGUGCAGCCACAAGCUAUUAUGGGCUCUAGCAUAGUUGAGUAAGUUGUGUGAAGCUCUCGAAGCGGUAGACUAGCAGAUGUAGAGGGUAUAGGUGGUACGGUCUAACCAGAAGUAGAGAGUUAAUGCUUCAGAAAGACUGUGUCUUGAAUUCUCUGACCAUGGAUGUAUUUCGAGUCUUGUGGGAAAAGUGCACAACCUCUGAAGAGUGUACAAACUAAUCAUGAUUAGCCGUGUCCCCGGUUAUGGACAUCUUGAGUAUCUGGCUCUUGGAUUUUCAUGUGUAUCUCAACACUCUAAAUUAAUUUGCGGGUUAAUGAUGAUUAUUUUGGGUUUGAGUUGGAGGAACCUUCUCAUUGUUUAAUAACUAACAACGUAGUUAAAUAAACUUUGUUCCACUUAGGAAGAAAUUUGGCUUUAUGCAAAACUGUUAACCAUAGAGCUUUCCACCAGCCAAGUAUACAUGUAGAGAUAGUAUUUAUUCUGCUCACUCUCUAUGUGUUACCUUGCCAGCAUAUUCCAUGUGCUGACCCGUUUCAGGCUGCAACGUUCAUGUUGCAGACUUUUCAGAUAUCGAGUAAGCGCCAUAGGUCAUUGUUUCGCACUCAGCUAUGCCGUUGAAGUUGAUGGACCUACUUUAUCUUCCAAGCCUUCCGCUGUUAUCAUAUUUAGAUGGCCUUAGGCCAUAUUAUUGUAAUAAGUUCUCUUUGAGAAAUUCGUUGUAAUAUGUGUGUGAUUGCUACUUUGUUAUAAUACCCAUCGAAGUAUUGUGCGUGUUAGCAUACCGAUCCAGGGAUGACACAGAUGCAUAGAGACUGGACUGAUUGAGGUCUGGUCGCUACAGAGGUGGUAUCAGAGCACACGUUGACUGUAGGACACGACCACUAAGCUAAAACCAUAGGUCACUCCUCUCUUCUCAUUUUUUGACUCCUCUCCCCUUUCAAAUCUAUAGGAUGGUGGAUAAAAGGAGCAAGUUUACUCAACCGAAUGAGGACACACCUUUUGGAAGACACUUGAAGGAAGCCACUAAGUACCUGAACAUCGGACUACCAAGCUUCACCAGGACCUUCAUCGCCACCGUACCAGACGAGGAGCGUUGGAAGAUUCGAGUUCAAGUUCCAGGAAGGACGUUCAUGCCAGUCACUAAGCCCAUAGAGUUUUCCUUUAAUGCACCAACCUGGGGCAUAGGAAAGAGCAUGGCAGCCCAAAUUACCAUGGGACGCAUUGGAGAAGUUUAUCACCAGGAUCUCGAAGAUACUAUCUACCAGAUUUGUGGACGCCGAGACGACCAGGGUGAGGUAGUCAUCACCAGGAGGGACAGAUCCAUUGCCUCUUACAUCCAGGAAUUGAACCAGCACAUUCGACUCCAAGAGAAUCAGAUGUAUGAGAGUAUGGAUACUUUAUAGAAGGCAAUGACGAGGAUCAAGGAGCUGGAGGAAGAACUCAAGUCUACACGAGAUGGCUACGGUGAGGAGACGACGACACUUGUGGAGAAGAAUGAUGAUUUGAUUAAGAAGCUAGAAGUCUUCAUGAUGGAGCCCAUGAUAGGAGGAGAUGAAGAUGUUCCCCCUAGCCCAAAGAGCUUCAUCAUCAACGACGACACCGACUCCGACCCUGAAAAAAAAAGAUGAUGACUACGUUGAUGAAGCUGGAGCAGAUAUCAUGGAGUCUUCCGCCGAUCAAAACUUCUAGUCGACCACCAUAUCAGUAGCAAGUAUUUCCCCAUGUAAAUAUUAGUUGAGCACUUUUGUGAAUGUUAGAUAGAUCGUUUGUAUGCUCUUGUUUGAAAUUGAUUGAGUGAUAUGUUUGUGUUUGUCUCAUGAGCAUAUGGGUGGUGUUUUCUCUUUAGACCUCACUCUAUUCUAUUUUCUCAUCUUUUCUAAACCCCUCAGAUGGCACCUCCGAGACGUGAAACCGAAUUUGCUUUCCCGCCAGAGAUCACCCAAUUGAUCCAGCAGCGGAAUGCCCUGAUGCAGAUCCUAGUCCAGAAUCAGAAUCAAGGGAACAACAACAACAACCCUCCGCCACCACCACCACCUGUUGGUCACUUAGCCCAUUUCUUAAGGCUAAAUCCACCGGUGUUCUCUAGUAGCACCGAGCCGAUUGUUGCAGAUGAUUGGCUCCGCAAGAUUGGAAGGGAGUUAACCACUGCAGGAUGCUCAGAUGCGGAAAGAGNNNNNNNNNNNNNNNNNNNNNNNNNNNNNNNNNNNNNNNNNNNNNNNNNNNNNNNNNNNNNNNNNNNNNNNNNNNNNNNNNNNNNNNNNNNNNNNNNNNNNNNNNNNNNNNNNNNNNNNNNNNNNNNNNNNNNNNAGUGUGUUUUGCCGCACAUCAGCUAGAUGGACCCGCAGCAUCAUGGUGGGAGAAUUUCACAGCCACUUACCCUAUUGACACUGUCACAUGGGAGCAGUUUCAGCAAGCUUUUCACACCGCCCAUGUUUCAGCAAGAGCUAUGGCCAUGAAGAAGCGUGAGUUUUGCAACUUACGCCAAGGAGGGCGCCCAGUUGGCCAGUAUGUGGAGGAAUUUAGCAAGCUAGCACGUUAUGCCCCUGAUGACAUUGCUACAGAUGCCGCUAAACAGGAGAAGUUCCUAGAAGGACUAAAUGAUGAGCUGAGCAUGCAGUUGAUGGUGGCAAGCUUCAACAACUACCAGGAGUUGGUAGACAAAGCUCUCAUGAUUGAAGGGAAGCAGAAGUAGAUUGACAAUCGCAAGAGAAAGUAUGGACAAGGGAGGUUCAAUUCUAGGGCUCAGCAGAAGCCCCGUUUUACACCGAACUCGAGAGGGCACAUUCACCACAACCAUGGGGGAAAUAAUUCCCAUGGAGGGGGUUCGCAUAAUCAUAGUGGCCCCAGGAAUGUGAAUGGUAAUGGAGGAAGCAAUGGACAGAACCAUUCCACCCCAGCAACGCUCGCCAAGAAGGAUCUAAGUCACAUUACUUGUUUCAAGUGCGGGAAGAAGGGACAUUACGCCACCGAGUGUCCCGAAGCAAAGAAUGGGAAUGGCAAUGACAGCUCUGGGAAGAAGCCCAACCCUUUCAACAGGGGACAAGUGAACCACGUUAGCGUGGAGGAGGUUGAAGCACAAUCUGAUGCGGUAGUAGGUAAGUUUCUGGUUAAGUCAUUUACUGCAAUUGUUCUUUUCGAUAUUGGUGCAUCACAUUCAUACAUAUCAAGGGGAUUUGUGGAUAAGUAUAACCUGCCAACCCAAGCCCUUAGGUCACCCAUGUUAGUAACCUCGCCAGGAGCAGAAUAUAUGGCUAGCCUAAGGUGUGAUCGGAUACCUUUGAGGAUGGGUAAUUACGUGUUCCCUCAGACCUAAUAGUAUUGGAGUCACAAGGACUGGAUGUAAUAUUAGGUAUGGAUUGGUUAUCGAAGUAUGGAGGGAACACUGACUACGCCAGUAAGUCGAUUUUACUCACCACCUCGGAAGGAAGAAGGAUUAAAUAUGUAUCCCAGCAUAUACCGAAGAGGACUCGAGUAAAUUCCUUAUCAGGAGUUGUACAGGAGGAAGGACCAGUGGUGAAGGAUUUCCUUGAUGUAUUUCCAGAGGAGUUGCCAGGCAUGCCACCGGACAGAGACAUUGAGUUUUUGAUUGAGCUUUUGCCAGGCACAGGACCAAUAUCGAAGAGACCAUAUCAGAUGCCUGCAAAGGAUUUGGAAGAAAUUAAGAAGCAGAUUAAGGAGUUACUGGAUAAAGGCUAUAUUCGCCCAAGUUCGUCACCUUGGGGAUCACCAGUACUUCUAGUGGAGAAUAAGGAUGGAUCGUUGAGGAUGGUUGUUGAUUAUUGAGGGCUGAAUGAAGUGACAAUUAAGAACAAGUAUCCACUACCGAUGAUCAAUGAUUUGUUUGAUCGUUUGCAAGGAGCUAAGGUAUUUUCCCAGAUCGAUCUGCGAUCAGGAUACCACCAGCUGAAGAUUCGAGAGCAAUAUAUACCUAAAACAGCUUUUACCACGAGGUAUGGGCUAUAUGAGUAUACUGUUAUGUCAUUUGGUCUGACCAAUGCACCUGCCUAUUUCAUGAACAUGAUGAACAAGGUAUUUAAGGAGUUAUUGGACAAGUUCGUCAUGGUGUUCAUUGAUGAUAUUCUGGUCUUCUCGAAGAAUGAAGAGGAGCAUGAAGAGCAUUUGCGUUUGGUACUUGAGAAACUCAGAGAACAUCAGUUAUAUGCCAAGUUCAGCAAGUGUGAGUUUUGGUUGAAGGAAGUUGGUUUCCUCGGACACGUUAUAUCCGGAGAAGGAAUAGUAGUAGACCCCGCCAAAGUUGACACUGUGACAACCUGGGAAUCCCCCACAGCAGUUGGAGAGAUCCGGAGUUUUCUUGGACUCGCAGGAUAAUACCGGAGGUUCAUUGUGAAUUUCUCAAAGAUUGCAAAGCCCAUGACGGAGUUGCUGAAGAAGGACACCAAGUUCAAUUGGACUGAGGAAUGUGAAGCCAGUUUCCAGGAGUUGAAGAAACGCUUGGUUACAGCCCCAGUGUUGAUUCUUCCAGAUCAACACAAGGAUUAUCCAGUGUAUUGCGACGCUUCUCAUCAACGACUCGGAGCAGUGCUAAUGCAGGAGGGAAGAGUAGUUUCGUAUGCUUCACGACAACUUAAACCCCAUGAGUUGAACUAUGCUACUCACGAUCUGGAGUUAGCAGCCGUAGUGCAUGCACUAAAGACGUGGAGACACUUUCUCAUUGGAAACCAUUGUGAAGUAUACACGGAUCACAAGAGUUUGAAGUAUAUAUUCACUCAGAAGGAGUUGAAUCUCAGACAAAUGAGAUGGUUGGAACUCAUCCAGGAUUAUGAUAUGAGAUUGCACUAUCAUCCCAGAAAGGCAAAUGUAGUAGCCGAUGUGUUAAUCCGCAAGAGUCAUGUCAAUACACUCAUAACCAAAGGAUUGCCCGACGAGUUGGCCGAAGAUCUUCGCGAGCUAUGCUUGGAGAUAGUUCCGGAGGGUUAUGUAGCAGCAUUGGAAAUUCAGUCUACCCUGAUGAGUAAGAUCAGAGAAGCUCAGAAGUCUGACACAGAGGUUUUUGAGAUAAAGGAAAGAAUGAGCAAGGGAAAGGCCAAAGGAUUUCGGGAGGAUGAGCACGAUACCUUAUGGUUUGAGGAUCACGUAUAUGUGCCCAAUGACCCUGAGAUCAGGAAGUUGAUUAUGCAGGAGGCACAUGAUUCGCCAUAUUUGAUUCACCCAGGAAAUACCAAGAUGUAUCUGGAUUUGAAAGACAGUUUCUUGUGGACUGGAAUGAAGAAGGAUAUUGCGGAGUGUGUGGCAGUUUGUGAUGUUUGUCAGAGAGUGAAGGCAGAGCAUCAGAAGCCAGCAGAAUUGCUACAGCCAUUGCCGAUACCCGAAUGGAAGUGGGACAAGCUAGGCAUGGAUUUCAUCACAGGAUUACCCCGAACGCGUUCAGGCUAUGACUCGAUUUGGGUUGUAGUCGACCGUUUGACGAAGGUAGCUCAUUUCAUCCCAGUAAAGACUACUUACAACAGUGCUAAGUUGGCGAAGAUAUACAUGACCAGGAUCGUAUGUCUGCAUGGAGUUCCGAGAGCCAUCGUAUUAGAUAGAGGAACCCAGUUUACCUCAAAGUUCUGGAAUCAGUUGCACGAUACCUUGGGAACCAGGCUAGAGUUCAGUACAGCCUUUCAUCCACAGACAGAUGGACAGAUCGAGAGAGUCAACCAAAUUCUAGAGGACAUGCUGAGAGCUUGUGCACUAGAUUAUGGAUCUAGUUGGGACGACAAUUUUCCUUACGCAGAGUUCUCCUACAACAACAGCUAUCAAGCCAUUUUAAAGAUGGCCCCUUUUGAAGCUUUGUACGGGAGAAGGUGUAGGACACCGUUGUUAAGGGACGAAGUUGGAGACCGUCAGUGUUCGGACCAGAUUUGAUUAAGGAAUCUGAAGAAAAGGUUAAGUUGAUUCGUGAUAGACUGAAGGUAACCCAGUCCAGACAGAAGAGCUAUGCGGAUUUAAAACGCAAGGAGACAGUUCAUGAAGUCGGAGAUAGAGUUUAUCUUCGCGUGUCCCCACUUCAAGGAGUUAAGCGUUUUGGAGUUAAAGGAAAAUUAGCACCACGUUUUGUGGGACCAUACAAAGUUCUGGAACGUAUGGGAGAAGUUGCUUACAAGUUGGAAUUGCAAGAAGGAUUGUCGGGAGUUCACGAUGUCUUCCAUGUUUCCCAGUUGAAAAAGUGCCACUCAGAGAUGGCCGAUAUUCUUCUAAAAGAUACAGUACCACUCGAAGCAAUUCAGUUGGAUAGUGAUUUGACCUACGAGGAGAAACCAGAGAAGAUUCUCGAGUAUGCCAGCCGAGUCACACGCAACAAGGUUAUCAGGUUCUGCAAAGUUCAAUGGAGCCACCAUACCGAGGAAGAAGCCACCUGGGAACGAGAGGAGGAUCUAUGGAAAGAUCACUCGCACCUAUUUUCUAGCCAACCCGAAUCUCGAGGGCGAGAUUCAUCUUAAGGGGGUUGGGAUCCUAAAAAUUCUAAGCAACUCAAGGACACUUGGAGAGAGUUGGGAAUUUAUUUAUUUUCAUAUUGGGAUUUUCUCAAAUAAUGAAAAGAGGAUCAUUGGUUUUUAAUUAUUUUUCUCUUCAAAUAUUUCAUAUAUAAAAAUAUGAGAGAGGGGAUAAAAUGACUUUCCCAAAAAUUAGAAAUAUUUGAGAGGAAAAAUAUUAAAGCCAAAUAAUAAUUUUUAUUUGGAUUUUAUUUGCUAUUUUAUUGGAUUUACGAAAAUACGCAUUUUUCAAAAUAUUAUUUCGGCCUUUCAAAAAUGACCACGUUGUAGAGCUCAUUUUUACGAGUCCGGCAAAAUUUGUUUCAUCGAAAUCGAAGUUCGUAUGGACUUACUUUUAAAUUUUCUAUCUCGUCCGAUUUAAAAAAAAUGAACUGACCGCGGAGACCUAUAUAAGCCCCCCUUGCGCGCACAAACCCUAGCCGCCGCUCGCCGCCCCUCGGCGGAGCACGCCGCCCGAGGUAGAAAAAAUAAUUUUUCAAAUUUUUAUUUUUAUUUUUAUUUUUUGGUUUAUUUAAUUAACGGACUUUCGUCCGUACGUUUGUUUUAACGAACACUGUUCGUUAAUUAAUUUCAGACGACGAACGUUCGUUCGUCCAUCUGUUCGUCGGAUUUAUUUUUUCGGAUUUUUCCGCGGUUANNNNNNNNNNNNNNNNNNNNNNNNNNNNNNNNNNNNNNNNNNNNNNNNNNNNNNNNNNNNNNNNNNNNNNNNNNNNNNNNNNNNNNNNNNNNNNNNNNNNNNNNNNNNNNNNNNNNNNNNNNNNNNNNNNNNNNNNNNNNNNNNNNNNNNNNNNNNNNNNNNNNNNNNNNNNNNNNNNNNNNNNNNNNNNNNNNNNNNNNNNNNNAAACGCCUAGAUUUUCGUCACGAAAAUCGCUUUUCGAUUAAUCCACUUGCACAAGAUUUUUAUAAAUAAUUUUUUACUUUAGUCCAGAUUAGUAAACGAAUCUCGUUUCUUUCGCAGUUUGAGUUUCGUUGAUCCGUUUGAUUUGAUUCUUUUUGCAAACCGGAGCUCUUUACUUGAACUUUCUGCUUAGAUCUUAUUCGAUUUUACCCGUGCAUCUAUACUGUUGCUUAUGUGUGCUAUUGUUUGUUGCGAUAGAAUACCCGGAUUGUGAAGCGUGCUACUACGAGUCCCUAGGUUUGCGGAUUAUCAGCAAGGCAAGUAACACUUUGAUCAUAUCCCUUAUUACCUAGUUUUUAUUGCAUUAGAUCCAUCCUCACACAUUGCAUGGUUAGGAUCUAAUUAACAUGUGGGUAUUGGGAAGUAGAUACUCAGGUAGAACCUAUUACCUGUUUACUAUCAAACUUUUGGGAGUUACUUCUAUGUUAUGCUAUUAUUGCUACGCUAUGCUCGUAGACGAUUAUUUGGGUGAGUGAUUUCCAUGACAGAUGUGAGUAUUGUUAAUUGAAGGUUAACUUAAGGUGGCUACUUAAAUACACAUCUCGGUGGAUUGCUUGAGGCACCCUGGAAUCCCGAGUGGCUGUCAGGAUAUCCCGGGGGAACCGUGUGAUCAUCCUAAGGUCCGCCACCCAGCUUCAAAGGGAUCAUAAGACUAUUCAUACCUGAAACUUACGUGUGCAGCCGCAAGCUAUUAUGGGCUCUAGCAUAGUUGAGUAAGUUGCGUGAAGCUCUCGAAGUGGUAGGCUAGCAUAUGUAGAGGGUAUAGGUGGUACGGUCUACCGAGAAGUAGAGAGUUAAUGCUUCAGAAAGACUCUGUCUCGAAUUCUCCGACCAUGGAUGUAUUUCGAGUCUUGUGGGAAAAGUGCGCAACCUCUGAAGAGUGUACAAACUAAUCAUGAUUAGCCGUGUCCCCGGUUAUGGACAUCUUGAGUAUCUGGUUCUUGGAUUUUCAUGUGUAUCUCAACACUCUAAAUUAAUUUGCGGGUUAAUGAUGAUUAUUUUGGAUUUGAGUUGGAGGAACCUUCUCAUUGUUUAAUAACUAACAACGUAGUUAAAUAAACUUUGUUCCACUUAGGAAGAAAUUUGGCUUUAUGCAAAACUGUUAACCAUAGAGCUUUUCACCAGCCAAGUAUUGAUGUAGAGAUAGUUUGUAUUCUGUUCACUCUCUAUGUGUUACCUUGCCAGCAUAUUCCAUGUGCUGACCCGUUUUGGGCUGCAACGUUCAUGUUGCAGACUUUUCAGAUAUCGAGUAAGUGCCAUAGGUCAUUGUUUUGCACUCAGCUAUGCCGUUGGAGUUGAUGGACCUACUUUAUCUUUCAAGCCUUCCGUUGUUAUCAUAUUUAGAUGGCCUUAGGCCAUAUUAUUGUAAUAAGUUCUCUUUGAGACAUUCGUUGUAAUAUGUGUGUGAUUGCUACUCUGUUAUAAUACCCAUCGAAGUACUGUGCGUGUCAGCAUACCGAUCCAAUGAUGACACAGAUGCAUAGAGACUGGACUGAUCGAGGUCUAGUCGUUACAUAGAGAUAGUACAAAGUUGAGACACUUAUUUUGAAACGGCGAAAGUACAUGACUUUAUAUAUCGAUACACACCGACUUAGAUUAGGUAUUACAAACCGACUUAGACUAGGAAACUUAUGAUGCAAGAAAGAGUGCACCACGGGCUAAAACACCCGUGCAUGGAGAUUUUAGCAGAUAAAAUUGAGAAAGAAAACAUUUGCGUCUAAUAAUCCCAUCUGGAUUUGGUGGAUAGAAGUUACCUACAUUGAGCCAGCAGCAGAUUUUCCAUACCUUGAAGACAUGAAUAUGUGGACCACAGGAGCCUGGGAGAGAUGCCACGCAGGAUAGCGAUUAGAGAACGCGGGGGGCGCCACGUAGCACAGUCGCAGAUGCCACGAUCCGACGUGGCCCAAUGGCUCGUUCUCGUGCGGAUAUUGCAGCCAAUGGCCGGCGGCAUUUGGAUAUCCCCAUCUCGCUCCGUCUCCGGCCUCUCGUGCUCUUAUUAGCAGCCUCAGAUUCCCUUGUCCUCUCAGAGCGCACGCCUGUUCUUCUUCCUGUUGUUGUCUCACCGCGCAGCAAGGAGCAGCCAGCAUCGAGAGAGCAGCAAUGGCUAUGGCGUCGUCAAGCGGGCUCAGGAGCUGCAGCGCCGUGGGCGUGCCGAGCCUGCUGGCGCCUUCGUCCCGGUCCGGCCGCUCCGGACUGCCGUUCUGCGCCUACGCCACCACCUCCGGCCGCGUCACCAUGUCCGCCGAGUGGUUCCCCGGCCAGCCCCGCCCCGCCCAUCUGGACGGCUCCUCGCCAGGGUGACUAAAGCAACAGAGCUGGCUAGCUAGUAGCCGAUCGACUCGACAUCAAUCAAUCUGACCGGCGAUUUCUGUUCUCCCUGCAGGGACUUCGGGUUCGACCCCCUGGGCCUCGCCACCGUGCCGGAGAACUUCGAUNNNNNNNNNNNNNNNNNNNNNNNNNNNNNNNNNNNNNNNNNNNNNNNNNNNNNNNNNNNNNNNNNNNNNNNNNNNNNNNNNNNNNNNNNNNNNNNNNNNNNNNNNNNNNNNNNNNNNNNNNNNNNNNNNNNNNNNNGGUUCAAGGAGUCCGAGAUCUACCACUGCCGCUGGGCCAUGCUCUGCGUGGUACGUCCUCCACCUCCUCCUCUGCACCACAUCCAUCAGCCAUUGUUGAGUUGUUCGCUGGUAGUAAUAACAUGGGUUGCGCUGUACGUGGCAUGGACAACGUGCAGCCAGGGGUGCUGGUGCCGGAGGCGCUGGGGCUGGGCAACUGGGUGAAGGCGCAGGAGUGGGCGGCGCUCCCAGACGGGCAGGCGACGUACCUGGGCAACCCGGUGCCGUGGGGCAACCUGCCGACCAUCCUGGCGAUCGAGUUCCUGGCCAUCGCCUUCGCGGAGCAGCAGCGCACCAUGGAGAAGGACCCGGAGAAGAAGAAGUACCCCGGCGGCGCCUUCGACCCGCUCGGCUUCUCCAAGGACCCCGCCAAGUUCGAGGAGCUCAAGCUCAAGGAGAUCAAGAACGGUACGUCCCAGUCCCAUCACAUAUACCCCGUUAUCGAAUGAAGAAUCAUACGUAGAUAGAACAAGCUGACGCGUUCGUCCGUGGGGAAUGCAUUGCAGGGCGGCUGGCGAUGCUGGCGUUCGUGGGGUUCUGCGUGCAGCAGUCGGCGUACCCCGGCACCGGCCCGCUGGAGAACCUGGCCACGCACCUCGCGGACCCGUGGCACAACAACAUCGGCGACAUCGUCAUCCCCAGAAAUAUCUACGGCCCUUGAGCGGAGCCGACCGGGCUGAGAGGAGAUCGAGGAGCCGGAGCGCAUGGUUUUCAUUCAUGUUUCUGAGUCGAUCCAUUGGUUGAUCACCUUGCCACGCUGGCUCUGCGCGCGCACCGUCCGUGCGUGCUGGAACUGUACAACAACGUCGGCUCUCCGGCCGGCAACCUUUGUAAUGUGUAAAGCUUAAGUAGCGGCCGCUGUUGCGAAUGCAUCCGUGUGAUCUGUAUAAAUUCUUUGCAUGAUGAUGUGUACGGAUAGUUAUCACGUGAUCACCUUAACAUUUCAUUGAGCUUAGGACAUCCCCAACGCGGCCCACCAAACAGAAGUCAUCACAUGUCCACGGACAGUCAGACUAUCAUAAUAAAGGAUAACAUAUAAAGUAGUAACAUGAAUAUGUUACUAGUAUAAGUUAUCAUCUCUAUAAUGGAUAGUAACAUAGAGAUUUUCAUCUAUUAGUUUGGGGUCCUGAUAUUCAUCAUAGUGUGAUAUAUUAGACAUCCACACACACCGUGUAUGGCGUACACAGAAGGUAGCCCACACGAAUUGUGUGUGGGAGAAUAAUAGAACUGACCACAUGUGUGGACACAACUACUUCAUGCCACACGUCCAACAAGUAUUAUCCAUCCCCAUUUGCGUGUGUAACACGAAGUAAAUCUUGUUGGAAUUAUGCCCUAGAGGCAAUAAUAAAUGUAUAGUUAUUAUUAUAAUUCCUGUAUCAAGAUAAUAGUUUAUUAUCCAUGCUAUAAUUGUAUUGAAUGAAGACUCAUUUACAUGUGUGGAUACAUAGACAAAACACCGUCCCUAGCAUGCCUCUAGUUGGCUAGCCAGUUGAUCAAUGAUAGUCAGUGUCUUCUGAUUAUGAACAAGGUGUUGUUGCUUGAUAACUGGAUCAUGUCAUUGGGAGAAUCACNNNNNNNNNNNNNNNNNNNNNNNNNNNNNNNNNNNNNNNNNNNNNNNNNNNNNNNNNNNNNNNNNNNNNNNNNNNNNNNNNNNNNNNNNNNNNNNNNNNNAUGUGUGGAGUAAUAGUAGUAGAUGCAGAAAGUAUCGGUCUACUUGUCUCGGACGUGAUGCCUAUAUGUAUGAUCAUUGCCUUAGAUAUCAUCAUGAUUUUGCACGGUUCUAUAAAUUGCGCAACAGUAAUUUGUUCACCCAGUGUAAUAUUUUCUAUUUUGAGAGAAGCCUCUAGUGAACACUAUGGUCCCCGGGUCUACUUCACAUCACAUUUUCAGCCUUACACUUUUACUUCGUUGCUCUUUCCGCCUUCAGAUCUCAGUUUGCAAUCAAUCUUGAAGGGAUUGACAACCCCUUUAUAGCAUUGGGUGCAAGCUCGUUUGUGUUUGCGCAUGUACUCUGGACACCUGGCUUUGAUUCUCCUAGUGGAUUGAUACCUUGGUUCUCAAAACUAAGGGAAAUUCUUACUGCUCAUGUGCUGCAUCACCCUUUCCUCUUUUUUUUUGACCGGCUACUGUAGGGAAAACCCCCCACAACCUUUUUUCUUUUAUUCCCAUAUAUAAGAGAAGUAUGUACAAGGAGAAAUUAGAAUGUACAAAUGGGAAGAGGAGCUAAAGCUACAAACCUCAAGGAGGC
RNAcentral lists this long non-coding RNA (41152 nucleotides) under Hordeum vulgare. RNAcentral's name for it is "long non-coding RNA (HVUL_LNC018300)". The record is from RNAcentral. Lineage: Eukaryota; Viridiplantae; Streptophyta; Magnoliopsida; Poales; Poaceae.